Molecule: ribosomal RNA, 468 nt
Filed under: uncultured bacterium
Lineage: Bacteria
Description: partial 16S ribosomal RNA
Rfam family: Bacterial small subunit ribosomal RNA
Source: RNAcentral
GACGAACGCUGGCGGCGUGCUUAACACAUGCAAGUCGAACGGAAAGGCCCUGCUUUUGUGGGUGGCUCGAGUGGCGAACGGGUGAGUAACACGUGAUUAACCUGCCCUUGACUUUGGGAUAACUUCAGGAAACUGGGGCUAAUCCCGGAUAGGAGCUCCUGCUGCAUGGUGGGGGUGGGAAAGUUUCGGCGGUUGGGGAUGGACUCGCGGCUUAUCAGCUUGUUGGUGGGGUAGUGGCUUACCAAGGCUUUGACGGGUAGCCGGCCUGAGAGGGUGACCGGCCACAUUGGGACUGAGAUACGGCCCAGACUCCUACGGGAGGCAGCAGUGGGGAAUAUUGCACAAUGGGCGGGAGCCUGAUGCAGCAACGCCGCGUGCGGGAUGACGGCCUUCGGGUUGUAAACCGCUUUCGCCUGUGACGAAGCGUGAGUGACGGUAAUGGGUAAAGAAGCACCGGCUAACUACGUG